Molecule: small nuclear RNA, 101 nt
Filed under: Capra hircus (goat)
Lineage: Eukaryota; Metazoa; Chordata; Mammalia; Artiodactyla; Bovidae
Source: RNAcentral
UUGCUAGCUAGCAUAUAUACCAAAAUUGGAAUGAUAAAAGAGAUUAGCAUGGCCCCUAUACAAGGGUGACACACAAAUUCAUGGAGCAGUCCAAAGUUUUU